This 104-nucleotide transfer RNA is filed under the name Methanomassiliicoccales archaeon RumEn M1. It matches the Rfam family "tRNA". From Rfam's summary of the family: Transfer RNA (tRNA) molecules are approximately 80 nucleotides in length. Their secondary structure includes four short double-helical elements and three loops (D, anti-codon, and T loops). Lineage: Archaea; Methanobacteriati; Thermoplasmatota; Thermoplasmata; Methanomassiliicoccales. The record is from Rfam by way of RNAcentral.
GCCGAGGUAGUCUAGUCCGGUAAGGCGGUGGUCUCGAAAGGACCGAGAUCUCCGAGUUAACCACUGGCGGUUCCGCCACGGGAGUUCAAAUCUCUCCCUCGGCG